CUCGACUACAUGAAGCUGGAAUCGCUGUAAUCGCGGAUCAGAAUGCCGCGGUGAAUACGUUCCCGGGUCUUGUACACACCGCCCGUCACACCAUGGGAGUCGGAAAUGCCCGAAGUCUGUGACCCAACCUUAGGGAGGGAGCAGCCGAAGGCAGGUCGGAUGACUGGGGUGAAGUCGUAACAAGGUACC
This 189-nucleotide ribosomal RNA is filed under the name uncultured bacterium. RNAcentral describes it as "partial 16S ribosomal RNA". It matches the Rfam family "Bacterial small subunit ribosomal RNA", at positions 1311 to 1500 of the family's 1533-position model. The record is from RNAcentral.